RNAcentral lists this long non-coding RNA (3959 nucleotides) under Lactuca sativa (garden lettuce). Its description in RNAcentral is "long non-coding RNA (LSAT_LNC007163)". Lineage: Eukaryota; Viridiplantae; Streptophyta; Magnoliopsida; Asterales; Asteraceae. The record is from RNAcentral.
CUGGAUUGACUAUCCUACACCUUGUUGCUCGCUACAGUGGGACUUGCAAGUCUACGGGUGCCAAAUGUCAUUUCUUACGGCGUCUUACAUCGUUGUUUUACUAGAGUCGGUAGCAGGAUACAGGUCGAUCACAUGUUACUUGGAACACCUUUUGUUUUAAGGUAGUUAGUACCACGGUAGUCACUUAUUACAAAUACUACGGUACGAUAAUAUUUUCCCCUUUACAUUCACUUCGUGAAUAUUCACACGAAGCACGGUAAUGUAGAAACUAUAUUUUUGUUAAUGAUAGUACGAAUUGGGAAAACACACACUCAAACAAGAGACAUACACACAGACACUAGAUGCCUUAGUAGAAGGCUACAGUGUGACAACCCAAAUUGUUCCGUUAUAUUUCCCCGUUUCCGUUAACGGAAUAUUCCAGUUAUAAAAGUUCCGUUAAUUAGAGGUCGUCAAUAUUAAUAAACAUCCCAAUUGUUUACAUUUAAAAUGUCGUUAAGUCGUGAUAAAAGGAAAUAAAAACACAGGACUCCACUCAUAGCUAAAAAUUCAGACUUAGAAGCUGUUAGAAUGGAGUUUACGGCCUAAGCUCCUUCUUAGGCCGUAAACGCCUUAAAUAAGGCCAAAAGACCCCAAACUUGUCCCUAUAGGCUUGGAAAUAAAUUAAGGGGAUUGCCUAGGAGUGCUUAAACACCAAAACACAAUGAUUUAGGGCAUAAAAGAGAGUUUACGGCCCAAGCACUUGCUUAGGCCGUAAACCCCUCAAAACCUUGUCAAAGUGCCCCCAAAACACUCCCAAACCACCCUUAGGCUUCAUACAUAAUUUAGGGACUUAGUAUUUGGAGUUUGGAUCAAUUAAACACAUCAAAAUGAUGGGGAAAAAGGAGUUUACGGCCCAAGUUUAUACCAAGGCUGUAAACACCCCAAAUCAUGCCCAAAGUGUGGUUUUGUUUCCCCAAAAGGCCUUAGACAUUUACCAUAAAAUACUAAGAUUAACACAAGGAUUUAAACACAAGAAAUGAAGGGAUAAAAAGGAGUUUACAGCCCAAGAAAGUGUCUAGGCCGUAAACUCCCCAAAACACAUCCAAAUGAUAGAUUUAAUCCCCCAAAAUAGCAUCACACUUCAUUAUAAAUUGCUAGCAAGGCAAUAAGGGCUUGAAACUUCACAAAACUCUAAGGGUGAGAGUUUACGGCCUUAAACUCACUUAGGAGUUGUUCCUAGGCCGUAAACUCCAAGAUAAUGCCCUUAGAAGCCUCAAAACCACUCAUGCCUUUUGGGAAAAGUACUUAGAAUAAUUCCAUGAGCAAGUAGAAGCCUUAAAACCCCCUAGACCCCAUCACCAUGAGUUUACAGCCGUAAACUCAUGGUGAGAUGUCCCUGGGCCGUAAACUAUGUGAUAAGGGUUUACUCUUGGAUAGUAAGCUCCAUUCUUUAGCCAUACACACCUUUAGACGCUACCCGGGACACCCAAACACUUAAACAAAGUGUUUUCCGCUCCUGUGAGCGCGUAUAUUUGUUUAAUUAGUAUUAAAUAUACUAAUUGUAUGUGAACAUAUGUUAUCAUAUGUUAAAUAGGUCAUUGUGUGUGUUCAAGUCCUUGCGUGACACCGAACGCCCAAAUGGCACCUUCGUCGGACCUACUUACACCAGGUGAGUUCAUACCCCUGAAUGAACCUUUAAAUGUUUUUAAAUGUUUUAUAGGGGGGAAUACAAGUUAAACAUGCCAGUUAUCAUAUCAAUCACAUGUGAUUGAUAACCCGCAUGCACGAGAUUUUACCACUGUACACUGUUUUACUGAGUAGGACACUAUAAUGGUUUUCAAUUGUUUCAAAACUUUUACUCAUACUGUUUUAUCUAAAUUCAUUCCAAACUGGUUUAUGAAAGAUUUUCAAACAUAUUUUACAAAAGAAUACAAAUUGUGAUUUUCUCCGGAUAUAAAGGUUAUUCAUCAGAGUUUCCCUCUUUCGACGUAUACUUUUACUUGUUAAAUACUGCUGCUUCGCUUAUACUUAUCUUAUACUCCUACUCUGUAACGCUUUCACUUAUACUUGAAGUCACUUAUACCUGAUGGACGCUUAUACUUAUUCACACUUUUACUUAGUGAUACGAUUCUACUUCGCUUAUACUUGAUAUCGACUCUACUUCACUUAUACUCGAUACGCUCAUACUUCACUUAUUGUCGUCUCUACUUCGUGAUACGCUUAUACUUGUUUGACACUCUUACUUCACUUGCGGUCACUCCUACUUCACUUGUUAGACACUCCUACUUCACAAAGAUCACUCCUACUUGAUACUCACUCAGUCGUAGUUAGAUGUAUGUCUAUGCUUAUAUAGGUACAUAUAAGUAAUGAUUGAAAGACUUAGGAAGGCUCGUCUGCCCUAUUUCUUUUUCUUCAUUGAGAUGUGGUCUGGUGGGAUCGGAUGGCCGUCCGAAGGUCGUUUGAAUCAUUAGUUAUAUAUAUUGUAUAUGAGUAUGGACAUAUAGGAAUUCUCUAGUCAGUUCAGUUAAGAGUCUCUACCUCUAGUCUACACUUACAUUAGAAACCCACUAGUUGGAAGUCUUUACCCACUAUUUGGGAUGCAUCUUCAGUACACGGCCUUUUUCGUCAUCUAGUUGGUAACCAGAGUCUCCUGUAGGGAGAGCGGACAUUGUGUGUAUAGAUCUAUACGAGAUUGACAACCCCGCACCCAGACUGCUAGCUACAGUCCCGGCCUACUAAGCCAACGGGUGACAAAUGUCACAUUUUAUAGACGGUUGUAGGGCGUCUGGUACUCUAGUCAGUAUGGUUACGAGUAUCCCGGGUUACCUUAUAAUUCAUUGGCUUUAAGGUAACGGUAUUUCGCCAGCAAUUUUCACUGUAUGCUGGUAAUUCACUUUCAGAGUCACACUGUUUUGACCUUACAACACGUAUCUUUCAUUUGAUACUGUCUGGGGUCUGUCUCCUCUGUUUUGACCUUACAAGACGUAUCUCUCAUUUGAUGUUGUCUGGGGUCUGUAUUCAUUGUAUUCACUGUUUUAGACCUUGCUAGACAUAUCUUUCAUUUGAUAUUGUCUGAGGUCUGUAUUCAAUGUUUGGACCUUACCAGCUGUACCUUUCAUUUGGUACCUUCUGGGGUCUGUGUCUCUAUUUGUUAGACUGAACCAGGCGAGUCAUUCGUUCGAUACUCUCCUGGAGUCUAUGAUUCCAUGCCUUAGUCAGCAGUCCUCACUGCUGAGGCAAAUGUUAUUCCCUGAUGUCAUUUGCUUUCCUCAAUGAACAAAUUCAGUAUUUUGAUAAUGAUAGCAACUUAGGGAAAAUGACUUUUUACCACAUAACACUGACCAGUCUUGGUAGAAGGCUGCUUAAUUAAAGAAAAUAUAGGAUUUUCUGGAAAGGACUCUAAUACACUGAAAUCUCUUAAACUACUACUUUUAUUAAAGUUAUUUGAAUGAAAACGUCACUAAAUGCUUAUGAACUCACCAACAUUUGUAAAAAUGCUGAUACUCGCUUUUCAAAUAACUUGUAUUCUCAGGUUAGCAUUAGACAGGUACAUCCCCGGAGCAGUUGAUGAAGAUAGCUUAGUGCCAUGCCGUACUUACUUAUAUCUACUUGUAUUACCUUGAUGUACUGUAAUGUAACCAUGUAAAAUUAUUACUAUUAAUGCAAUGUUUUGUUGUACUUUGAUUACUAUAUGCAUGUGUUGUGAUACUUGACAUGACGUCAUCCACCCCAGAACGUUUUCGCCGUUUCGGUUUUGGGGUGUGACAUACAGUUAGUUGGAAACAUAGGGUUUUCUAGGAGAGUUCAAAACAUUGUACAAAACAUUUUACAGAAACAUUUUACAACCGUUUUCAUACAAAGUCAGACAUUAAUAUACUUAUGAUCUCACCAGCUCUAAGCUGAUACUCGCUUUCAAAAUAACUUGUAUUCUCAGGUCACCACUAGACAGGUACAGGUGCCAGGCUUUUGAGAAGAUGGAG